Molecule: ribosomal RNA, 468 nt
Filed under: uncultured bacterium
Lineage: Bacteria
Description: partial 16S ribosomal RNA
Rfam family: Bacterial small subunit ribosomal RNA
Source: RNAcentral
GAUGAACGCUGGCGGCGUGCUUAAUACAUGCAAGUCGAACGGAAAGGCGCGGCGCUUGCGGGGCUCUCGAUUGCCGAAGGGGUGAGUAACACGUGAGUAACCUGCCCUUGUCUGUGGGAUAACUUCAGGGAACUGGGGCGAAUACCGGGUAGGAUCUCCUGCUGCGUGUUGGUGGUUGGAAAGUGUCGGCGGUUGGGGAUGGACUCGCUGCUUAUGCGCUUGUUUGUGGGGUAGUGGCUUACCAAGGCUUUGACGGGUAGCCGGCCUGGGAGGGUGACCGGCCACAUUGGGACUGAGAUACGGACCAGACUCCUACGGGAGGCAGCAGUGGGGAAUAUUGCACAAUGGGCGGAAGCCUGAUGCAGCAACGCCGCGUGCGGGAUGACGGCCUUCGGGUUGUAAACCGCUUUCGCCUGUGACGAAGCGUGCGUGACGGUAAUGGGUAAAGAAGCACCGGCUAACUACGUG